Molecule: non-coding RNA, 75 nt
Organism: Schistocerca americana (American grasshopper)
Lineage: Eukaryota; Metazoa; Arthropoda; Insecta; Orthoptera; Acrididae
Source: the annotation of a RefSeq genome assembly
GCCCUUGGUGGCUCAGAUGGAUAGAGUGACUGCUGUGCAAGCAGGAGAUCCCGGGUUCGAGUCCCGGUCGGGGCA